RNAcentral lists this ribosomal RNA (497 nucleotides) under uncultured bacterium. RNAcentral's name for it is "partial 16S ribosomal RNA". It matches the Rfam family "Bacterial small subunit ribosomal RNA", at positions 28 to 507 of the family's 1533-position model. The record is from RNAcentral.
GAUGAACGCUGGCGGCGUGCCUAAUACAUGCAAGUCGAGCGAACGGACGAGAAGCUUGCUUCUCUGAUGUUAGCGGCGGACGGGUGAGUAACACGUGGAUAACCUACCUAUAAGACUGGGAUAACUUCGGGAAACCGGAGCUAAUACCGGAUGAUAUUUUGAACCGCAUGGUUCAAAAGUGAAAGACGGUCUUGCUGUCACUUAUAGAUGGAUCCGCGCUGCAUUAGCUAGUUGGUAAGGUAACGGCUUACCAAGGCAACGAUGCAUAGCCGACCUGAGAGGGUGAUCGGCCACACUGGAACUGAGACACGGUCCAGACUCCUACGGGAGGCAGGAGUAGGGAGGCUUCCGCAAUGGGCGAAAGCCUGACGGAGCAACGCCGCGUGAGUGAUGAAGGUCUUCGGAUCGUAAAACUCUGUUAUUAGGGAAGAACAUAUGUGUAAGUAACUGUGCACAUCUUGACGGUACCUAAUCAGAAAGCCACGGCUAACUACGUG